AGGACGAACGCUGGCGGCGUGCCUAACACAUGCAAGUCGAACGGAACUCUUAGGAUCGAGACUUCGGUCAAGUGAAUCUGAGUUUAGUGGCGGACGGGUGAGUAACGCGUGAGGAACCUGCCUCGGAGUGGGGGACAACAGUUAGAAAUGACUGCUAAUACCGCAUAAUGUUCAAGAAGGGCAUCCUUUUUAAAACCAAAGCUUUAUGUGCUCUGAGAUGGCCUCGCGUCUGAUUAGAUAGUUGGUGAGGUAACGGCCCACCAAGUCUGCGAUCAGUAGCCGGACUGAGAGGUUGAACGGCCACAUUGGGACUGAGAUACGGCCCAGACUCCUACGGGAGGCAGCAGUGGGGAAUAUUGGGCAAAUGGGGGAAACCCUGACCCAGCAACGCCGCGUGAAGGAAGAAGGCCUUCGGGUUGUAAACUUCUUUUACCAGGGACGAAUAGAUGACGGUACCUGGAGAAAAAGCUACGGCUAACUACGUGCCAGCCGCCGC
This 496-nucleotide ribosomal RNA is filed under the name uncultured bacterium. Its description in RNAcentral is "bacterial SSU rRNA". It matches the Rfam family "Bacterial small subunit ribosomal RNA", at positions 26 to 518 of the family's 1533-position model. The record is from RNAcentral.